RNAcentral lists this ribosomal RNA (497 nucleotides) under uncultured bacterium. RNAcentral's name for it is "partial 16S ribosomal RNA". It matches the Rfam family "Bacterial small subunit ribosomal RNA", at positions 28 to 507 of the family's 1533-position model. The record is from RNAcentral.
GAUGAACGCUGGCGGCGUGCCUAAUACAUGCAAGUCGAGCGAACAGACGAGGAGCUUGCUCCUCUGACGUUAGCGGCGGACGGGUGAGUAACACGUGGAUAACCUACCUAUAAGACUGGGAUAACUUCGGGAAACCGGAGCUAAUACCGGAUAAUAUAUUGAACCGCAUGGUUCAAUAGUGAAAGGCGGUUUUGCUGUCACUUAUAGAUGGAUCCGCGCCGCAUUAGCUAGUUGGUAAGGUAACGGCUUACCAAGGCGACGAUGCGUAGCCGACCUGAGAGGGUGAUCGGCCACACUGGAACUGAGACACGGUCCAGACUCCUACGGGAGGCAGCAGCAGGGAAUCUUCCGCAAUGGGCGAAAGCCUGACGGAGCAACGCCGCGUGAGUGAUGAAGGUCUUCGGAUCGUAAAACUCUGUUAUUAGGGAAGAACAAAUGUGUAAGUAACUAUGCACGUCUUGACGGUACCUAAUCAGAAAGCCACGGCUAACUACGUG